Astatotilapia calliptera (eastern happy) is the source of this 2320-nucleotide long non-coding RNA. The record is from Ensembl. Lineage: Eukaryota; Metazoa; Chordata; Actinopteri; Cichliformes; Cichlidae.
GUUCAAUUCAUCUGCAAAUAUCCUGGAGCAAAUAAAAAAUAUGACCACGUCAAUGUAGUUUUUCCCAAUAGAACAAGCUUACGAAGCUCUCUGAAGGAUGUUUGGGACAAUAAAGGCAGAUUUUCUCUGUACCAUGAUACAAAACAUAAAACUCUGAUGGUGGGCAUCAGAGAUCUUAAACAAGCAGACUUUGGGACGUACAGAUGUGAAUUUGAUCAAGGCUCAAACAGAUCUCCUGUCAAAAAGGAAUUGGAUUAUGAAAACUGCCAGCAGCCAUUUACUCAAACUGUGACCAGAGGAGCUAACAUCAAGUGUCAUUAUCCAGAUGUUGAUUUCAAGUCCGGGGUCCAGUUUUUCUGCAGAGGGGAGAAUUUCACCUGUAAGGAUAUUUUGUCAACAAAAGGUCAGAGGUUAAACGGGAAAUUCAGACUCACAAACACCAACAGAGGCUUCAACGUGUCCAUCAGUGGUGUUUCCUCACAGGACGCUGGUGUCUACUGGUGUGGAGUGGAAUCAAAGGAUGGAAGCUACAGAGUUUCACUCAAACAAAUAAAACUGGAGGUUGAAGCUGGUUCUCCUUUAACUGUGGUCAUCACUGCGGCUGUCCUCGUUGCUCUCCUGCUACUUGUGGUUAUUGCGGUUUUCACCUACAAAUGUUUUUCAUGGUCAAAACACAGAAAGAAUGGAGAGGCACAGAACAAAGAAGAUAAUAUCUAUGAGGCAAUACACGAGUCUUCCCAGAAGUCCGUCACAAGACCUGCAAUGAAAACAGUUUAUGCCACUACCAACUUCCCCACAAACCCAGCUUUCUUCAUGCAUGAAUCCAAAGUCAAGGUUUAAAACAUCUCUGGUGAGGCUGACUCUGAUACAGAUUGUAGUCAGUGGAAACCAGGCCAGCAUGAUACGAAGUCUACAGCAAAUCAUCCAUCCAGAGUUUCAAUUGACAAUUUCUACUCCCUGUCGUUGCAAUGCCACUGCGGCACUGAGAAGGGUUAAGUCCUGACUGCUCCUCUAUUUACUGCUUGCUUUCUAGCUAUUAAAAUUUGAUGAUCUGGGAAAUUUCAAACCUUUUCUUGAUGCAUCCAAAAUCUAUAAGAACUUUUCAGCUGUACAGAUCUAGGGCAGUGACCUGGGUGGGAAUGAAUGUGAUUAUUUUGCCAGAUCCUAUGUUAUUUACGUUUAUAUUUUUUUCCUUUAUUUCACUUUUGUAAUCCUUCUCUUCUCUAUUUGUUUAUAUGUAUGAAGGAAAUAUUCUUAAUAAAAAAGCCAUUGUUUAAAAUGAUGAUCUGAAAAAUGUAAGAUGUAAAAAAUAUGCAAAAAAACAUUAAAAGAAUAGAAAGAAAAAUCAGAAAGAUGGCAGAAUACUUGUUCACAGCACUAUAUUAAAAAAUGCAAGCCUAUUAUAGGCCAGAAAAGGGAAGACAUGGUGUGUUUGCCACCCACAGUUACCUGGACAAGCAAGGACAGAGCAGGCAUCUGCCCCCCACUGUUGAUCCAAACCAGCAAAUCUACUGAAAGAUAUUAGGCUACGUUCAAACUGCAGGUCUUGAUGCUCAAUUCCGAUUUUUUGAUCAAAUCCGAUUUUUUUGUCUGCUUGUUCACACUACAAAUAAAAUGCGACAGCAAACGCGCUCUAGUGUGAACGCUCAAAGCGGCCGCAUGCGCAAAAGAAGACGUCACACACAACGCGCUCUGGUUAGACCCAGAGCAAACAAUAUUGUUUGACUGAUGGCCUUAAUAUAAAGACUUCGGACUUUACAUUUCCCAAUUUUUACUUUAAGUUAUUUUGUUAUUUACAUAAUAAUGUAAAUAACCUAAUAAUGAUCCUUAUUUCUGUUUUAGAGGAGCGCUGCUUCAAAGGAUAGCUGCAGAUUUCUGUCAGAAUCUGCAGAUUAUACAGUACAAAGAAAAUGUUCACGUUGUCUUCCCAACAGUUUCACUGACAUCUACACUGGAUGGCCAGGAAGCGUUCGCGGUGUCUUCUCCGGGGCUGAUAAUUAGCGUCUGUCUUGUGUCAGUGACGUAAAAGACGGAUUUAAUGCGACAUGACCGUCAAACAGCAGUCGCUUCCUAAAACAUCGGAUAUGUAUCGUGAUGCGCUUUCGCCUGCAGUGUGAACGUAGCCUUAGUGUCAUGGUUGGCUGUGUGGCAGGCAGGCAGGAAAAAAGGACCCAAACUUGACACUGAGAGAGACAUGAAGAAUAUGACACAAAACAGAGAAGACAGUGACUUAAACUGGAGGCCAGAACACCAAAUAAAGUAAAGAGAACAAAACUAAGAAUAACCCUUAAUACCAAAUCAAACCAGCACAACUCAAAAA